GGGUGCCGAGAGGAGCGGAUGCAGCUGGAGCGGCUCCCUUAGGGAGCCGAGUGGCAGGUGGGCGGCGGCGAGGGUCCUUGAGGGCGGGUCUGAGAGUCUUCAGAAGGGGAGGGCUCUGAGGUCUUUUUGAAGCUGGCUGUGCUUAACCUGGAGAGGGUUAAGGCCCCGCUUCCUGGCCUUCCAGCCUGUAAUGCCAAAAGAUAAGGGAGAGGCUGUCGUGUGACCCCCGUUUUGAGUCAGGUGGACAGAGGGCUGGCCACCUUCGGAACCAUGGGUGCAAUACGGAGUCAGACCUCAAUACAAGCACACUCUUUCACAUAUCUGAACUUUUUUUGUUCACUGUGCAGGGAUUGUUCAUUGCUGCUGGAGGAAGAUCAUGGACUGUCCCGGGAAACUGAAGUGGUUGAGUAUCCACUAAUCGUGGAUGAGGACAGUGACUUCGCAGUUUUUUUGCGAAUCACAUCUCUUUGAUUAUGUUGUGACUAGUUUUGUUAGUAAACUGAGAUAGCCAUUCAGUGUUUGGGAUACCUGUUAAGCCCCUUGUCCAGGGACUGUGGUUGGAUUUAUGAAUUAUUUGGACGGUUGUCCACUUGACAGUAGCUUCAUAACACUGUUACAAAGCUCGUUCUAAGAUUAAGCUGUUGAACCUAUAUUUCCCAUUAGUGCUUAAUUUUUGAAGUAUUCUUAUUUUUAUGAAUCAAGUCCUGGAAAAGGACAAGAUAUUUGAAUGAAAUAGCACCCAUAAUGGAGAACUUCACAGUUGCUACUCCUGUGAUAGGUUUAUCUUAGUUUAUUGAGGUGUAAAUGGAAUAGCAGGUGUUGUCAGGUACAAGGUUUGUAGCUUGCCGAUAUGUUCUUUACCAACACUGCAGAUUCCCAUUGAGUUGGUGGGAAUUUUGUUACCUUUUUUUUUUCUCAACAAAAUAAUUCUAUAACUUUUUGUGACAAGAAAUGGACUUUCAAUUUACUUAAGAUUAAUACUUCUUGAAUGAUAAAAUCAUUUUGCCAUGUUAGAAGACAUUUCCGAAGAAGACAUUUGGGAAUACAAAUCUAAAAGAAAACCAAAACGAGUUGAUCCAAAUAAUGGCUCUAAAAAUAUUCUAAAAUCUGUUGAAAAAGCAACAGAUGGAAAAUACCAGUCAAAACGGAAUAGAAACAGAAAAAGAGCCACAGAAGCUAAAGAGGUGAAGGACCAUGAAAUGCCCCUCGAAAAUGCAGAUUGUCAGACUUCUGUAGCUUCUAGUCAGAAUUCAAGUUGUGGAGAUGGUAUUCAGCAGACCCAAGACAAGGAAACUACUCCAGGAAAACUCUGUAGAACUCACAAAAGCCAACACGUGUCCCCAAAGAUACGUCCAGUUUAUGAUGGAUACUGUCCAAAUUGCCAGAUGCCUUUUUCCUCAUUGAUAGGGCAGACACCUCGAUGGCAUGUUUUUGAAUGUUUGGAUUCUCCACCACGCUCUGAAACAGAGUGUCCUGAUGGUCUUCUGUGUACCUCAACCAUUCCUUUUCAUUACAAGAGAUACACUCACUUCCUGCUAGCUCAAAGCAGGGCUGGUGAUCAUCCUUUUAGCAGCCCAUCACCUGCGUCAGGUGGCAGUUUCAGUGAGACUAAGUCAGGCGUCCUUUGUAGCCUUGAGGAAAGAUGGUCUUCGUAUCAGAACCAAACUGAUAACUUGGUUUCAAAUGAUCCUUUAUUGAUGACACAGUAUUUUAAAAAGUCUCCAUCUCCAACUGAAGCCAGUGAAAAGAUUUCUACUAAUAUCCAAACAUCCCAGCAAGCUCUACAAUUUACAGAACUUGUUGAGAAUGACAAACUGAUAGGAGUUGCUUUGCGUCUUGCAAACAACUCAGGACACAUAAAUUUGCCAUUGCCAGAAAAUGACUUCAGCGACUGUGAAAUCUCCUAUUCUCCACUUCAAAGUGAUGAAGACACUCAUGAUAUCAAUGAAAAACUGGAUGAUUCACAAGAACAACUAUUUUUUACCGAAAGCUCAAAAGAUGGCACCCUCGAAGAAGAUGAUGACAGCUGUGGUUUUUUUAAAAAACGACAUGGUCCCUUACUGAAGGACCAGGAUGAGAGCUGCCCCGAAGUGAACAGCUUCUUAACUCAGGAUAAGUAUGAUGAAGGAUUGUAUAGAUUCAAUAGUCUAAAUGAUUUGUCUCAACCUGUUUCCCAAAAUAAUGAGAGUACUUUGCCUUAUGAUCUGACAUGUACUGGUGGUGAUUUUGUGUUGUUUCCACCUGCAUUGGCAGGGAAGCUUGCUACUUCUGUUCAUCAGGCAACUAAAGCAAAACCUGAUGAGCCAGAAUUUCACUCAGCUCAAUCAAAUAGACAGAAACAGGUGAUUGAAGAAUCAUCUGUUUACAAUCAAGUUUCUCUUCCGUCAGUUAAGAGUUUAAUGUUGAAACCUUUUGAAAGUCAGGGAGAAGGGUAUCUUUCUUCCCAACCAACCCAAAAUACAAUUAGAAAAUUAUCAAGUGAGAACUUGAAUGCUAAGAAUAAUACUAACUCAGCACGUUUCUGUAGAAAGGCAUUAGAGGGUGUGCCAGUUGGUAAAGCUACAAUUUUAAAUACAGAAAACUUGUCUAGUACACCUGCUCCGAAGUAUUCGAAAAUAUUGCCUUCUGGUCUUAAGUGUAAUGCAAGACAUCCUUCUACCAAGGUAAUGAAGCAAAUGGAUAUAGGUGUGUAUUUUGGACUACCUCCCAAAAGAAAAGAAGAGAAAUUGCUAGGGGAAAGUGCAUUAGAAGGGAUAAACUUAAAUCCAGUUCCAAGUUCUAAUAAAAAGAGGUCCUUGCAGUGCAAGAGGAAAGCAGAAAAAUCUUUAAGUGAUUUAGAAUUUGAUGCAAGUAAUUUAAAUGAGAGUCAGCUUUCUGUGGAACUUUCUAGUGAGAGGUCACAGCGUCAAAAAAAGAGACGUAGAAAGUCAAAUUCACUGCAGGAUGGAGCGUAUCAGAAGAGAUCAGAUCACCUUAUUAAUACAGAAUCUGAAGCAGUCAAUUUAAGUAAAGUCAAAGUCUUCACAAAAUCAGCUCAUGGUGGGCUGCAAAGGGGCAACAAGAAAAUCCCAGAGUCAUCUAAUGUAGGAGGAUCGAGAAAAAAGACAUGUCCAUUCUAUAAGAAAAUAACUGGAACCAGCUUUACAGUUGAUGCCUUUCAGUAUGGUGUGGUUGAAGGUUGCACAGCCUAUUUUCUCACACAUUUUCAUUCUGAUCAUUAUGCUGGAUUGUCUAAACACUUCACAUUUCCAGUUUAUUGUAGUGAGAUAACUGGCAAUUUGUUGAAGAACAAGCUUCAUGUGCAAGAACAAUAUAUCCACCCAUUGCCACUGGACACUGAAUGUAUCGUGAAUGGUGUCAAAGUUGUUUUGCUUGAUGCCAAUCACUGUCCAGGUGCUGUCAUGAUCCUCUUUUAUCUUCCUAAUGGUACUGUCAUAUUACACACGGGAGACUUCAGAGCAGAUCCCAGCAUGGAACGUUCUCUUCUUGCGGACCAGAAAGUCCAUGUGCUGUACUUAGAUACCACAUAUUGUAGCCCAGAAUACACCUUUCCAUCACAGCAAGAGGUUAUCCGGUUUGCCAUCAACACUGCCUUUGAGGCUGUAACUCUAAACCCACAUGCUCUUGUUGUCUGUGGCACUUACUCUAUUGGAAAAGAGAAAGUCUUCCUAGCCAUUGCUGAUGUUUUAGGUUCAAAAGUGGGCAUGUCCCAGGAAAAAUAUAAAACUCUACAGUGCCUCAAUAUACCAGAAAUUAAUUCAGUCAUCACUACCGACAUGUGCAGUUCAUUGGUUCACCUUCUCCCAAUGAUGCAAAUUAAUUUUAAGACUGUACUCGUUUAACUUCAGAUAAGUAAAGGAGAAAAUAUUUUAUAUAUAUUUUUUUAGUGAUUAUUUUUAGAAGCAUAGCACUAGGUUGUUGAAGCUAAUGCUUAAAAAGUGAAAACUCCCCAUGCCUGUGCCAAUAUAACAUCUUUAAUCAGUCUGUUUUAUUCUACAUAACUCGUCUCCAUUGACCUCAAUAUACUAUUUUUAUUUAACAGGGCUUACAGAGUCAUUUGAAGAAGUGUGGUGGGAAAUACAAUCAGAUUUUGGCGUUUCGACCUACAGGAUGGACACACUCUAACAAGUUCACUAGAAUAGCAGAUGUUAUACCCCAGACCAAAGGAAACAUUUCAAUAUAUGGAAUUCCUUACAGUGAACACAGCAGCUACCUAGAAAUGAAACACUUUGUCCAGUGGCUGAAGCCCCAGAAAAUCAUACCUACCGUAAAUGUUGGCACCUGGAAAUCUAGGAGCACAAUGGAGAAAUAUUUUAGAGAGUGGAAAUUGGAAGCCGGAUAUUGAUGAUACCUCCGAGGAUUCAGUAGUAGUUAAGUUCGUUGGAUGUAGCUUGUUAGUAGUUAAAUCUAUAGAAAUAUGAAAUACACUUUGUGUGGAAAAACCUCAUGAAGAUUGUUCAGAUAGUUUAUUUUCUCAUUUAUGUUUGAACAGCAUGUUCAUGGUGCUGAAUGCCUCUCAGCAUCAUCAAGGAUAAUUGAAACUGGGUCUCCCUGGGACCCUUAAUUUCUUGUCCCCUGCCCUCCAUGGGCAGUUAUAUUCUGCAUCGAGCCUUAGAAGAGGAAGCAAAGGCAGAUUCAGGGACCAAAAGGAUUAAUGAUAAUUAAUAAAGUAGAUUGAAGCAUUAUAUAUAUAAGUAAUUAUGUGUGUUUAAAAUUAUUAGAUAAAACUUUUAUAUGACAUAUAUACUUAAAUAAAAUUAAUAUAAAAUUU
Molecule: RNA transcript, 4771 nt
Organism: Nomascus leucogenys (northern white-cheeked gibbon)
Lineage: Eukaryota; Metazoa; Chordata; Mammalia; Primates; Hylobatidae
Gene: DCLRE1A
Gene name: DNA cross-link repair 1A
Exons: 9
Source: RefSeq, a predicted model, not a curated record